GAACGCUGGCGGUCUGCUUAACACAUGCAAGUCGAACGAACUCUUCGGAGUGAGUGGCGGACGGGUGAGUAACGCGUGAGAAUCUGCCUGUGGGUCGGGGACAACCACUGGAAACGGUGGCUAAUACCGGAUGAGCCGAAAGGUAAAAAAUUUAUUGCCCACAGAUGAGCUCGCGUCUGAUUAGCUAGUUGGUAAGGUAAAAGCGUACCAAGGCGACGAUCAGUAGCUGGUCUGAGAGGAUGAGCAGCCACACUGGGACUGAGACACGGCCCAGACUCCUACGGGAGGGCAGCAGUGGGGAAUUUUCCGCAAUGGGCGAAAGCCUGACGGAGCAAGACCGCGUGGGGGAGGAAGGUUUUUGGAUCGUAAACCCCUUUUGUCAAGGAAGAAGUUCUGACGGUACUUGACGAAUAAGCCUCGGCUAACUCCGUGCCAGCAGCCGCGGUAAUACGGAGGAGGCAAGCGUUAUCCGGAAUGAUUGGGCGUAAAGCGUCUGUAGGUGGCCAGCUAAGUCUGCUGUUAAAGAUCACAGCUCA
Molecule: ribosomal RNA, 536 nt
Filed under: uncultured bacterium
Lineage: Bacteria
Description: bacterial SSU rRNA
Rfam family: Bacterial small subunit ribosomal RNA
Source: RNAcentral